This 253-nucleotide ribosomal RNA is filed under the name uncultured bacterium. RNAcentral's name for it is "partial 16S ribosomal RNA". It matches the Rfam family "Bacterial small subunit ribosomal RNA", at positions 524 to 776 of the family's 1533-position model. The record is from RNAcentral.
UACAGAGGGUGCAAGCGUUAAUCGGAAUUACUGGGCGUAAAGCGUGCGUAGACGGUUAUGUAAGUCAGGUGUGAAAGCCCCGGGCUCAACCUGGGAAUUGCAUUUGAGACUGCAUAGCUAGGGUGCGGAAGAGGGAAGCGGAAUUUCCGGUGUAGCGGUGAAAUGCGUAGAUAUCGGGAAGAACACCCGUGGCGAAGGCGGUUCUCUGGGACGGUACUGACGCUGAGACGCGAAAGCGUGGGGAGCGAACAGG